This 425-nucleotide ribosomal RNA is filed under the name uncultured bacterium. RNAcentral describes it as "partial 16S ribosomal RNA". It matches the Rfam family "Bacterial small subunit ribosomal RNA", at positions 354 to 796 of the family's 1533-position model. The record is from RNAcentral.
GUGGGGAAUCUUGCGCAAUGGGCGAAAGCCUGACGCAGCCAUGCCGCGUGAAUGAUGAAGGUCUUAGGAUUGUAAGAUUCUUUCACCGGGGACGAUAAUGACGGUACCCGGAGAAGAAGCUCCGGCUAACUUCGUGCCAGCAGCCGCGGUAAUACGAAGGGGGCUAGCGUUGCUCGGAAUUACUGGGCGUAAAGGGCGCGUAGGCGGACAGCUUAGUCAGAGGUGAAAGCCCAGGGCUCAACCUUGGAAUUGCCUUUGAUACUGGCUGUCUUGAGUUUGGGAGAGGUGAGUGGAACUCCGAGUGUAGAGGUGAAAUUCGUAGAUAUUCGGAAGAACACCAGUGGCGAAGGCGACUCACUGGCCCAAUACUGACGCUGAGGCGCGAAAGCGUGGGGAGCAAACAGGAUUAGAAACCCGGGUAGUCC